GACGAACGCUGGCGGCGUGCUUAACACAUGCAAGUCGAACGGAAAGGCCCUGCUUUUGUGGGGUGCUCGAGUGGCGAACGGGUGAGUAACAAGUGAGUAACCUGCCCUUGACUUUGGGAUAACUACAGGAAACUGGGGCUACUAACGGAUAGGAGCUCCUGCUGCAUGGUGGGGGUUGGAAAGUUUCGGCGGCUGGGGCUGGACUCGCGGCUUAUCAGCUUGUUGGUGGGGUAGUGGCUUACCAAGGCUUUGACGGGUAGCCGGCCUGAGAGGGUGACCGGCCACAUUGGGACUGAGAGACGGCCCAGACGCCUACGGGAGGCAGCAGUGGGGAAUAUUGCACAAUGGGCGGAAGCCUGAUGCAGCAACGCCGCGUGCGUGAAGACGGCCUUCGGGUGGUAAACCGCUUUCGCCGGUGACGAAGCGUGUGUGACGGUAAUGGGUAAAGAAGCACCGGCUAACUACGUG
Molecule: ribosomal RNA, 468 nt
Filed under: uncultured bacterium
Lineage: Bacteria
Description: partial 16S ribosomal RNA
Rfam family: Bacterial small subunit ribosomal RNA
Source: RNAcentral